GACGAACGCUGGCGGCGUGCCUAACACAUGCAAGUCGAGCGAGAAUCUUUCAAAUGAUCCCUUCGGGGUGAUUUUGGAAGAGGAAAGCGGCGGACGGGUGAGUAACGCGUGAGUAACCUGCCCUUUGGAGGGGGACAACAUUCCGAAAGGAAUGCUAAUACCGCAUAACAUAUAUUUAAGGCAUCUUAGAUAUAUCAAAGAUUUAUCGCCAAAGGAUGGACUCGCGUCUGAUUAGCUAGUUGGUGGGGUAAAGGCCUACCAAGGCGACGAUCAGUAGCCGAACUGAGAGGUUGAUCGGCCACAUUGGGACUGAGACACGGCCCAGACUCCUACGGGAGGCAGCAGUGGGGGAUAUUGCGCAAUGGGGGGCAACCCUGACGCAGCAACGCCGCGUGAAGGAAGAAGGUUUUCGGAUCGUAAACUUCUUUAAGUGGGGAAGAUAGUGACGGUACCCACAGAAUAAGCCACGGGCUAACUACGUG
RNAcentral lists this ribosomal RNA (482 nucleotides) under uncultured bacterium. RNAcentral's name for it is "bacterial SSU rRNA". It matches the Rfam family "Bacterial small subunit ribosomal RNA", at positions 28 to 507 of the family's 1533-position model. The record is from RNAcentral.